GCAGAUGGCUCAGUUGGCAGAGCAUGAGACUUUUAACCUCAGGGUCAUGGGUUGUUUGAGCCUCACAUUGAGCA
Molecule: non-coding RNA, 74 nt
Organism: Podarcis lilfordi (Lilford's wall lizard)
Lineage: Eukaryota; Metazoa; Chordata; Lepidosauria; Squamata; Lacertidae
Source: the annotation of a GenBank genome assembly